CUAUCCGGGCGGGGCGGGGAAGACGAAAAGCUCUUGGUGAGGCUGGGCCUUUCUGGGGACGAUGCCGUCCGCAUUCUCAGUGAGCUCGUUCCCCGUCAGCAUCCCCGCCGUGAUCAUGCAGACAGACUGGACGGAGCCGUGGCUGGUCGGGCUGGUCAUCUUCCACGUACUCUGCCUGCUGCUCACCUGCUUCUCAUCCCGGAGGUAUAAGCUACAGGUCGGGCACUUCCUGUGUCUGGGUGAGUAGGACCAGCAGCGAUUCUGUGGCUCAGGUUGCUGUGUGAUAGACAGUGUGCCUAUUCUCUCGUAGCCUCCUGCUGUGUGAAUACAUUUGUAAGGCUUCCAGCUGUGCCUGUCCUGGCGGGAAGUGCCAACCAGGAAGCAAAGUUCUGGGCAUAAAAUGACGUGGUGCCCAAGUCAGUUUUAAAGAUAAUGAGAAGGAGCAGAGUUGUGUGGCAUCCCCACGGAGAAGGAGUGGAGGCUGCAGGUGGCAGUCGUCCACCACCUCCGGUCCCUGUGCAGCUCUUGGCCUCCUGCCCUGGUCCCCACCCCAGCCCGUACCACCAGGGAGGGCCACCCAGGGGCUGGGCUGUUCCUGCUGCUCCUGUUAUCCUCAGGCCAGAUCCCCCCCCCGCCCCCGUCUUUGCCACCAGCGCAAGUCUGAGGGGCCAGGCAGGGGACCCCAGCCCUUGCCCCAGGGCCCUCGGGUCCCACCACUGGCCUUGCCAGCUGACCUGUGACCAGGUGGGGCAGGCCGGCCUGCUCUGGUGUCUGGCCGGAAGCUCCUGCCGAGGGUGUGCCCAGCGGACUGACCAUCAGACUCCGUGUUCGCCUGGGUUUCCCUUCGAGUGGCUGCCUUCUGUCAGCGACAACAGGAACAGGUCUCAGCAGAUCCCUCUGUGCUGUAGCUGUCGCUUCUUUCCUCUCAGUGACGCUGGUCUACUGCGCCGAGUACAUCAAUGAGGUUGCGGCCAUGAACUGGAGGUGAGAACCAGCGCCCCGCCCGCCCGCCCGCACCCCAGGCUCCUUCCCGGCGGGGAGCUCAGCACCCCGUCUUCUCCGGCGCCCCCGACACGUCCUCGCUGUCCAGGACACCAGCGCACGCCUGUCUCCCUGGCCGCUCCCUCCUCGCCUCUGUGUCCUUCCUGCUGCAGCCUCUGCCGGGGUGACCCACUCCGUGUCCCGUGUCCCGUCCCCACGAAACGUCCGCCCUCCCCGCCCCACCCCCUGCAAACUGUCCCCAGCUGCCUGCUCUGUCCCCAGCUGCCUGCUCUGUGGGGGCAGCUGCUUCUCCUGGCCUCUUAGGGCAGAGACCCCGCAGUCAGGCAGGGGUCCUUGGGGACGGCGGAGGGGGGCUUUGAAACCAUCAGUGAGGGGAGCACCCCCCCCAGGUCUCCUGACUGCCUCCCAAGGAGCGUCUGACCCCAGGGGUCACGGAGCAGAGUUCUGGCCCCCGGCGCUCAGCCCCCCGGCUGCAGGCCCCUACUGGGGGGUCGGGGGCCCUCCCUCCUCCACAGGCAGACCCCUCCCUCCCCCCCAACGAUUUCCUCGGAGCCCCAGCCUCCCAGGCUGCCUCGGACCCGAUAGUCAGCGCCUGUUCCCUGUGACCCCCGAGCCCUGGCGGAGCGGGAGAAGGUCAUAUCCUCGACUGGGUCACUGGCUGGUGACGUGAGGCCUGUGUCCUGCCCCCGCCCGGCCACACGGGUCCCCCCCGCCUGCUCCCCCGCCUGCUCCCCCGCCUGCUCCGGGGCGGGGGCCUGAGCUCGCAGAGGCGGCCACCCACCCUGUCCUGCUUCCCAGGAAGGCCUGCAGAGCCUGCCCUACAGGGUUGAGGAGGCCGCCGGCUCGCGCAGUGGUCUCUGCCCCCACCUCGCCUUCCUGUGUGGAGGUGCCUGCCGGUCCCUGCAUGUCCUCUGUCCCCAGGUGCCUGUGGCCUCGGGCCUGGGUCCUGGUGGGAGGACCCGCCUCGCUGAGGGGCGACACCGUGAGCAGGGGCCGUCGCAAGGGCCGCUGGGCUGCGCCAGGUAACCGCCAGACCCUUCUGCGUGCAGGUCCUUCUCAAAGUACCAGUAUUUCGACUCGAGGGGGAUGUUCGUGUCCCUGGUCUUCUCGGCACCGCUGCUGCUCAACGCCCUGGCCAUCGUGAUCCUGUGGGUGCGCAAGACGCUGGCGGUGAUGAGCGACCUGAGGACCUUACAGCAGCGCCGGGGGCGGCCGAAGCAGCAGUGACGGCUCUGCCCCCGGCUGGCGCCUGGGCAUCCAGACCCGCCCCGCGUCCCGAGACGCUUGGGCUGGCUUUGAAGGGCGCUCGCCCGGCCUGGGUCCACCCAGAAGGUCUGAGUCUCCCUAGUUAAACUGUAAAUGGAGCCCCUGCAGUCAAGCCUGAGCUCGGGACACCCUGUCUGUCCAUGUGGGAGGGUUGAGGGGUGGACAGCGCCAUCCACGCGUGGGCACCCCCAUUGGCCCCUGUCACCCCCACCCUCCCCGUCAGCCCCCUGUCACCUCUAUCACUCCCCCAUCACCCCUGUCACCCCCAUGCUCCCCGUCAGCCCCCUGUCACGGUCACCCCUGUCACCCCUGUCACUGCCAUCACCCUGGUCUGGCCUUCGUGGCGACGGCCUCUCCAGGCAGGGCUGCCGCUGGACAGGGCAGGAGGGGCCGCCUGGCCUCUGUGCAGUUGGAGGCGUCACGGCGCCGGCGGAGGCCGGAGUCGGGAUCUUCAGAGGCGGCAGCCGCGCGAGCCCCUUGAGUUGUGCUUCAGGAAGGAACGUCGCCAUUAAAACAGUCAGCAGCUGCCUGGUUCAACUAAGAGGUUUUAUGGCAAAUACCGAGACGGGUUCUGUCCCUUGGUUCCUGCCUCUUACAUUCUGCUCGGGGACAUGCCACCGCCUCUUCUGUUGGAGCAGGUGCGCUGAUUCGGUGUCACGGCCGCGCUGCGGACUAGACCUGCAGCUGGAGGGUGGGGGCCGCAUGUCUAAACUCAGCGUUUGAGAAAGAGGAGGCGGUUGGCUCCUGAUGGGGUUUGAAAAAAUAGCUUGCGAGCCUUCCUGCUGUGACUCAAAGGGAUCAGCGGCAUCUCUGCAGCGCUGGGCGCGGGUUUGAUCCCUGGCCGGGUGCAGUGGGUUAAGGCUCUGACAGGGCUGCAGCUGCAGUGUAGGUCACGCUGGGACGUGGCUCUGAUCCUGGCCCAGGAAAGCCAUGUGCCAUGGGGUGGCCUGAAAAAAAGAGAGGAAGUAGUUUAUGAAUAGUUGUCUUAAUUUUAAGAAGAUAUUUUCCCUUAAAUGAAGUAUAUUUUUCAAAUUUCAAAAGAAAAAAAAUUGGUCACGUGAAAGCAUUAUAUUUAGUGGUUCAGAGGGUAACACUGCUGGAUGAUGGGAUUAAAUCUUGAAAUCCAGACGUAAAGACAGCUGUAAACUCUUAGCAGAGAAAUUAUUUCCUUAAUUUUGACGUUGGUUUUAGAACCGAGUCGAUAGAACUUCCUAGAUCAAUCUCUUGGAGCUUUUAACCUCACAUCCUUUCUUGAUGUGAAUGUCUGUACUGAACAUUGAAAAAAUUGACUCAGCAACAGCAUGUCACGUGAAAUCCAGUUUUAGAUGUCUUGCACCUGAUGACAUCCUGAGGGUGCGUUGCUGAAAGUGACCAGUUCAGGGUGUUCCUUGGUGUCCUGGCUUCAGAAGAGUCGCCUGCAUCUGAGCAGCUCCCGGGAGCCCACAGCGGCAGGGGCUGCGGGCGGGGUCGAGUGUCCCCUCCAGCGCCGGCCUGGGGCCAGGGGACAGAAGUGCCCGUGGCAACGUCCUGCCCUUGCCCUCGGCCCCUCGGAGCCCAGGGAGUGCAGGCAUUUCCACCGUCCGGAGCCACUCCUGUCAGCGCGAGACUGUGACUGGCUCUCAGCUGUCCUGUGAAGACCGGGUAAUGACAUCGUCAUUGGCCUGGAUGUGGGGUCAGACGUCCUGUCGAAAAACACGACGUAGGGCCUUUUCGUUCACUGGUGUGUGUAAGUUUUGGGGAGUCGUUGUGUUUUAUUUUCACAAACACAACCUGUUUUUAAAACUUUUAGUAGGUUUCUCUCCAGUGGCUUAAAGGGCAGUGUUUACGAACACCAGGCGGUCCUCAUGCUUGGGACACACUCCAAGCCGUCGCUGUCCCAGCACUUCAGGUCACCUCAAGUGUGGGGACUGUGGCCCUUUCGGGGCAUGGGGGUGCUGCUGGGGCUUGGGGCCUCCAGGCGGGUGGAAGGGCAGCCUGUGUCUGUCAUCUGCGGACGAGGAGACGAGAGACACGCGUGGUCAAGGAGCAUUUAGCCCAUUCCAGACCUGCGACCUUCAGUUUGUCAGUUGCUGUGUAAUAAAGUCUUAUUUUAUUUCAAG
RNAcentral lists this long non-coding RNA (4367 nucleotides) under Sus scrofa (pig). RNAcentral describes it as "lncRNA (ENSSSCG00030071216.1)". The record is from RNAcentral. Lineage: Eukaryota; Metazoa; Chordata; Mammalia; Artiodactyla; Suidae.